This 470-nucleotide ribosomal RNA is filed under the name uncultured bacterium. Its description in RNAcentral is "bacterial SSU rRNA". It matches the Rfam family "Bacterial small subunit ribosomal RNA", at positions 328 to 795 of the family's 1533-position model. The record is from RNAcentral.
CGUCCAGACUCCUACGGGAGGCAGCAGUGAGGAAUAUUGGUCAAUGGGCGCGAGCCUGAACCAGCCAAGUCGCGUGAGGGAGGACGGCCCUACGGGUUGUAAACCUCUUUUGCCGGGGAGCAACGGGCGCCACGUGUGGCGUCACUGAGAGUACCCGGAGAAAAAGCAUCGGCUAACUCCGUGCCAGCAGCCGCGGUAAUACGGAGGAUGCGAGCGUUAUCCGGAUUUAUUGGGUUUAAAGGGUGCGUAGGCGGAGUGUCAAGUCAGCGGUAAAAUUUCGGGGCUCAACCCCGUCGUGCCGUUGAAACUGACACCCUUGAGUGCGCGAGAAGUAUGCGGAAUGCGUGGUGUAGCGGUGAAAUGCAUAGAUAUCACGCAGAACUCCGAUUGCGAAGGCAGCAUACCGGCGCGCAACUGACGCUCAUGCACGAAAGCGUGGGUAUCGAACAGGAUUAGAUACCCGCGUAGCA